This 229-nucleotide long non-coding RNA is filed under the name Lathyrus oleraceus (garden pea). Its description in RNAcentral is "Pisum sativum (pea) long non-coding RNA (PSAT_LNC012173)". Lineage: Eukaryota; Viridiplantae; Streptophyta; Magnoliopsida; Fabales; Fabaceae. The record is from RNAcentral.
UUUACCCUCUUGAUAGAAAAGACUUUCUAACAACAUGUUAUUAGGUUUGUCUCUCAAGGGGAACCCAAGUUGACGACGAGCCAAAGCAAGGUUGUAGUUAAUUCCUCAUUGUGUACCAAUGAGAGGUACAUUAGAGAAUUCACCAUAAUAAUCAAUAAUCUCCAAACUGCUCAAAGAAGGAUCAUACCAAACUAUAUCAUCAUUAGUGAGAGACAUAAGUCUCUGAGAC